RNAcentral lists this ribosomal RNA (484 nucleotides) under uncultured bacterium. RNAcentral's name for it is "partial 16S ribosomal RNA". It matches the Rfam family "Bacterial small subunit ribosomal RNA", at positions 30 to 507 of the family's 1533-position model. The record is from RNAcentral.
AUUGAACGCUGGCGGCAGGCCUAACACAUGCAAGUCGAGCGGAUGAAGGGAGCUUGCUCCUGGAUUCAGCGGCGGACGGGUGAGUAAUGCCUAGGAAUCUGCCUGGUAGUGGGGGAUAACGUCCGGAAACGGGCGCUAAUACUGCAUACGUCCUGAGGGAGAAAGUGGGGGAUCUUCGGACCUCACGCUAUCAGAUGAGCCUAGGUCGGAUUAGCUAGUUGGUGGGGUAAAGGCCUACCAAGGCGACGAUCCGUAACUGGUCUGAGAGGAUGAUCAGUCACACUGGAACUGAGACACGGUCCAGACUCCUACGGGAGGCAGCAGUGGGGAAUACUGGACAAUGGGCGAAAGCCUGAUCCAGCCAUGCCGCGUGUGUGAAGAAGGUCUUCGGAUUGUAAAGCACUUUAAGUUGGGAGGAAGGGCAGUAAGUUAAUACCUUGCUGUUUUGACGUUACCAACAGAAUAAGCACCGGCUAACUUCGUG